RNAcentral lists this ribosomal RNA (468 nucleotides) under uncultured bacterium. Its description in RNAcentral is "partial 16S ribosomal RNA". It matches the Rfam family "Bacterial small subunit ribosomal RNA", at positions 28 to 507 of the family's 1533-position model. The record is from RNAcentral.
GACGAACGCUGGCGGCGUGCUUAACACAUGCCAGUCGAACGGAAAGGCCCUGCUUUUGUGGGGUGCUCGAGUGGCGAACGGGUGAGUAACACGUGAGUAACCUGCCCUUGACUUUGGGAUAACUUCAGGAAACUGGGGCUAAUACCGGAAAGGAGCUCCCGCUGCAUGGUGGGGGUUGGAAAGUUUCGGCGGUUGGGGAUGGACUCGCGGCUUAUCAGCUUGUUGGUGGGGUAGUGGCUUACCAAGGCUUUGACGGGUAGCCGGCCUGAGAGGGUGACCGGCCACAUUGGGACUGAGAUACGGCCCAGACUCCUACGGGAGGCAGCAGUGGGGAAUAUUGCACAAUGGGCGGAAGCCUGAUGCAGCAACGCCGCGUGCGGGAUGACGGCCUUCGGGUUGUAAACCGCUUUCGCCUGUGACGAAGCGUGAGUGACGGUAAUGGGUAAAGAAGCACCGGCUAACUACGUG